UGGGGAAUAUUGCACAAUGGACGGAACUCUGAUGCAGCGACGCCGCGUGAGUGAUGAAGGAAUUCGUUUCGUAAAACUCUGUUCUAUGGGAAGAAAAGGACUGUACCAUAGGAGAAAGCUCCGGCUAAAUACGUGCCAGCAGCCGCGGUAAUACGUAUGGAGCGAGCGUUGUCCGGAAUUAUUGGGCGUAAAGGGUGCGCAGGCGGCUGUACAAGUUGGAUGUGAAAUAUUGUGGCUCAACCACAAACGUGCAUCCAAAACUGCAAAGCUUGAGUUAAGGAGAGGUAAGUUGAAUUCCUGGUGUAGCGGUGGAAUGCGUAGAUAUCAGGAGGAAUACCGGUGGCGAAGGCGACUUACUGGACUUAAACUGACGCUCAGGCACGAAAGCGUGGGGAGCAAACAGG
RNAcentral lists this ribosomal RNA (404 nucleotides) under Fusobacteriota bacterium. RNAcentral's name for it is "Fusobacteria bacterium partial 16S ribosomal RNA". It matches the Rfam family "Bacterial small subunit ribosomal RNA", at positions 355 to 776 of the family's 1533-position model. Lineage: Bacteria; Fusobacteriati; Fusobacteriota. The record is from RNAcentral.